RNAcentral lists this ribosomal RNA (429 nucleotides) under uncultured bacterium. Its description in RNAcentral is "bacterial SSU rRNA". It matches the Rfam family "Bacterial small subunit ribosomal RNA", at positions 28 to 439 of the family's 1533-position model. The record is from RNAcentral.
GAUGAACGCUGGCGGCGUGCUUAACACAUGCAAGUCGAACGAAGCUGUUGUUUGGAGACCUUCGGGUGGAAGAAUAACAGACUGAGUGGCGGACGGGUGAGUAACGCGUGGGUAACCUACCUUGCACAGGGGGACAACAGUUGGAAACGACUGCUAAUACCGCAUAAGACCACAGUACCGCAUGGUACGGGGGUAAAAACUGAGGUGGUGCAAGAUGGACCCGCGUCUGAUUAGCUAGUUGGUGGGGUAAAGGCCUACCAAGGCGACGAUCAGUAGCCGACCUGAGAGGGUGAUCGGCCACAUUGGGACUGAGACACGGCCCAAACUCCUACGGGAGGCAGCAGUGGGGAAUAUUGGACAAUGGGGGGAACCCUGAUCCAGCGACGCCGCGUGAGUGAAGAAGUAUUUCGGUAUGUAAAGCUCUAUCAU